CCCUCCCUCCCCCCUGCCGCCGCCACCUCCAUCGCCAUCUCCCUCUCUCCCCGUCUCCCCGAUCUCUGACCCAGCCACCACCCAUGGCGCCAGCCAGAGCAACCACCAGCUAUGGUGACGGCGAAGCUAGAGGCUGCCAGAUCCGGGACCAGGGCGGCGCAUAGCCCCUCCUCCCGUGAGAUCCUCUGCAUCGAGCAGCUCCUCUUCCCGCUGCACCGUCUCCCCAUCCGGAUCAAGCAGUUCCUCUUUGCCCGCUCUACCGACCCCCUCCAUCAGCCGUCGCUACGCAGUACACUUCCACCGCUUCUGCCGCCUCCCAAGUCGUCGUCCUCCCGAUCCCCUCCCCUCCCCUUCCUAUGCUCCGGACACCCCAUCUCCGUCGGGCCGGGCGCCCCAUCCACCUCUACGGGCGGCGUUGGCGUAUGAGCAAUGGCGUCGCCCGGGUCGCGGCGGCGUACGUGCGGAUCAUGGCCGACACGAUCCUCGGCGGCGGCGGCCACGGCUUCUACGUCAUGCACUGCAUCGAGACCUCCUACAAUGCGAGGAUGGAGGAGAGGCUGCGUCGAUGGCAAGCUUGAGUGCCUCUACCAUGGCUGGCAGUUCGACGGCCAGGGCAAGUGCGUCAAGAUCCCACAGGUUAAUGGAGCAAUGAUGUGGUGGUAUAACAUAUCUGCGGCGGUUCUUCAAGCAGCUUUCCAUGUGGAGGAUCGCGUCCAGGGUCGUCGUCAAGCCCUCGCGCGGCUCAUGGGCAUAGGCUGGUCCAUGCACGCUGGUGAUGGCGGCUCACCAAGGUUGUCGUCGUCGCCUGCACGCACGAGGCACCUGACGACCUCCUCCAUCGCCAGCCACGAGGACCGGGCACGAGCUGCAGUACAGGUCUCGUACACGAGGAGGCCCUUGUGGUCGCCGCUGGAGGGGCUGGAGCUUGGCGGCAGCCUGGCGGAUGACGGGGGCCUGGACGGGGGCUAUUUCUGUAGCAGGAUGAUAGCUUAAAUUUUGUGAUAAUUUUGGAAUAGCUUCAGCACCUACAGUUAACUUUGCACAAAAGCUUGAGUAAUUUUGCACAUGAAGCUUCUGCUACUGUUAUUCUUGUCAUGAAUCUUCCACCAUUUUCAGUAGCUUAAAUUUGACUUGGUGUAGUAAUCUUGGUGCUUAGUGCUGCUUGUAUCUCAUGCUAAUUGUUGCAUGAGUAGUUUCAGUAGUUUUAUAACAGCAGCAGUAGCACAAAUUUAAUUGAAUUCAAUUAAAAUUUCCAGAAUCUCUUCUUGAUCUAUAAUGUUUUAGUGCAAAAAAGUCAUACCGAGUGAGGUCCAUGUGGUGCUCUGAGAUGCUCUUGGUGGUUUGUUGUCAAGACUGAUACCCCCCGUUUGUCACGAUGCUGCUAGCUUGUUUCAGUCCAGUAUCUCUUCUUGAUAGUCUUGAUAACAUAAUUCAGUCCAGUAACUCUAAUUAAUUAACUGAAUUUAUUUGUUUAAUUAAAUUACAUUGAAACCUUUUAAUUAUAAUUAAAGAAGGGUUUCAGUUUAAUUAAAACUAAUUGAAACCUUUUCGGUUAAUCCUGUUGUAUAAUGUAGUAAUAGAGUAAGUAAUUUAGUGUAGAGUAAGUAAUUAAAGAUAGGCUUGCUGUUAGUAGUAGAGUAAGUAAUUAAGUCCUAUUGUUUACUGUAAGACUUGCUGUUUAGCAAGGCUUGAGUAAUUUAGUGUACUGCAUCUUUAGUUUCAACUGAAAUUUUUAUCAUGCUACUGUGACAUCUACUGUAAAUUUCAAACAAAUGAAAGGAGUACUGUAGUUACAAAUGGAGCCUACAAAUUCUAUACAUCUAUUGUACUCAUUUUUCAGUUAUCUGUAGUUACAAAGCAUUAAUUGUAAGACUGUAACUAAACAUAUCUUCUUAUCCUCUGUCAUUUUACUCAUACACAUGCUUAUGAUCCUGUUAACACAUGCUGAUGCUCAUUUUACUCAUGCACAUGCUCAUGAUCUUCUUAGUUAAGACUGUAACUACUCCAUUUGAUUGCAUGAUCUCUAUUUGAAUGCAUGCUCAUAAGAUUGUAACAGGAGUUCAAUAUAAUAGUGAACAUGCUCAUGAUCUCUAUUUGAAUGCAUGUUCUUCGAGUACUCGCAACCUGCAUCUUGAAUGGGAUCUUCUUUCAUGUUGAAAUCACAAUUUCGGUCAUCAUGACUUCCUCCAGGAAUGCAGGAUCAGCUGCUGCUGCUUGCUGCAGGAUCUGGUUAUCAACCUGAGAUGUCACUGCUCAAGUCAUGGCGACGACCGGGGAUGUAGCUGAUCCAACUUGGGAUGAUGUUGAUGAUCUGCUGCUCAACAAGGUCAUGCUGCUUCGUUUAGCCUCUACGAAAAUUUACAAGAGCUCUAGCCUGGAAGUGAAGAAGUCAGGAGUAUAUUUGUAGUAUAUAUGAUAGUAUGUUGGUGAAAUGAACGAUGUAAAGAUUGUGCUAUUACAAGAGCUCUAACCAAGGACAACCUGAAAAGUAUAUUUGUAGUAUUUUGGCUAAUUGGCAUGUGUUUUGAUAAUUUUCAUCUGUUUACUGUUCUCAUUGAAAUAAUUGUUUCAAAUUGUGGAAGU
RNAcentral lists this ribosomal RNA (2583 nucleotides) under Triticum aestivum (bread wheat). Its description in RNAcentral is "partial small subunit ribosomal RNA". Lineage: Eukaryota; Viridiplantae; Streptophyta; Magnoliopsida; Poales; Poaceae. The record is from RNAcentral.